This 190-nucleotide unclassified non-coding RNA is filed under the name uncultured Tricholomataceae. RNAcentral's name for it is "sequence contains ITS1". The record is from RNAcentral. Lineage: Eukaryota; Fungi; Basidiomycota; Agaricomycetes; Agaricales; Tricholomataceae.
UCGUACAACAGAGGCGUUCGUGGCUGUCGCUGACCCACUAGGUCGUGCACGCCUCGAGCGUUCUCAUUUACACAUCUACCUCACCCUUUGUGCAUCGCCGCGUGGGCCCCCUUUGAUUCAAAGGAGGUCUGCGUUUUUACACAAACUUUGUAACUGUGAAUGUCUUAUUUGCGGUCACACGCAAUCAAUA